CCUACGGGAGGCAGCAGUGGGGAAUUUUGGACAAUGGGCGCAAGCCUGAUCCAGCCAUGCCGCGUGUGGGAAGAAGGCCUUCGGGUUGUAAACCACUUUUGUCAGGGAAGAAACGGUCUGGUCUAAUAAACCGGACUAAUGACGGUACCUGAAGAAUAAGCACCGGCUAACUACGUGCCAGCAGCCGCGGUAAUACGUAGGGUGCAAGCGUUAAUCGGAAUUACUGGGCGUAAAGCGUGCGCAGGCGGCUUUGCAAGACAGAUGUGAAAUCCCCGGGCUCAACCUGGGAACUGCAUUUGUGACUGCAAGGCUAGAGUACGGCAGAGGGGGAUGGAAUUCCGCGUGUAGCAGUGAAAUGCGUAGAUAUGCGGAGGAACACCGAUGGCGAAGGCAAUCCCCUGGGCCUGUACUGACGCUCAUGCACGAAAGCGUGGGGAGCAAACAGGAUUAGAUACCCUGGUAGUCCACGCCCUAAACGAUGUCAACUGGUUGUUGGGAGGGUUUCUUCUCAGUAACGAAGCUAACGCGUGAAGUUGACCGCCUGGGGAGUACGGCCGCAAGGUUGAAACUUAANAGAAUUGACGG
Molecule: ribosomal RNA, 585 nt
Filed under: uncultured bacterium
Lineage: Bacteria
Description: bacterial SSU rRNA
Rfam family: Bacterial small subunit ribosomal RNA
Source: RNAcentral